UACGGAGGGGGCUAGCGUUGUUCGGAAUUACUGGGCGUAAAGUGUGCGCAGGCGGCGCUGCAAGUCGAGUGUGAAAUCCCCGAGCUUAACUUGGGAAUUGCGCUCGAAACUACGGCGCUGGAGUAUGGCAGAGGAAGGUGGAAUUCCACGUGUAGCGGUGAAAUGCGCAGAUAUCAGGAGGGACACCAAUGGCGAAGGCAGCUCGCUGGGACGUGACUGACGCUGAGACGCGAAAGCGUGGGGAGCAAACAGG
RNAcentral lists this ribosomal RNA (253 nucleotides) under uncultured bacterium. RNAcentral describes it as "partial 16S ribosomal RNA". It matches the Rfam family "Bacterial small subunit ribosomal RNA", at positions 524 to 776 of the family's 1533-position model. The record is from RNAcentral.